RNAcentral lists this ribosomal RNA (332 nucleotides) under uncultured eukaryote. Its description in RNAcentral is "partial 18S ribosomal RNA". It matches the Rfam family "Eukaryotic small subunit ribosomal RNA", at positions 1470 to 1796 of the family's 1831-position model. The record is from RNAcentral.
CCCUUAGAUGUCCUGGGCUGCACGCGCGCCACACUGGAAGUUACGGAUUGAGAUACUACCUUGUCCGAAAUGGUCCGGGUAAUCACCUAAAAGCUUGUCAUAAUUGGAAUGGAUUAUUGUAACUAGUAAUCCUGAACGAGGAAUUCCUAGUAAGUCCCAGUCAACAGCUGGUACUGAUUACGUCCCUGCCCUUUGUACACACCGCCCGUCGCUACUACUGAUUGGACGUUUAAGCAAGAUUUUUAAACACUGACAGUGUGUAGUUCACGCUAUACUACAGUGAGAAGAAGAAGAUCGAGCUUACUUGUCUAGAGGAAGUAAAAGUCGUAACA